Molecule: ribosomal RNA, 1441 nt
Filed under: metagenome
Description: SSU rRNA
Rfam family: Eukaryotic small subunit ribosomal RNA
Source: RNAcentral
UGACGGGUAACGGAGAAUUAGGGUUCGAUUCCGGAGAAGGAGCCUGAGAGACGGCUACUACAUCUAAGGAAGGCAGCAGGCGCGCAAAUUUCCCAAUGCUCAUCGAGCGAGGAAGUGACGAUCAAUAAUAAUGUGUUAGGUUUACCUUUCGCAAUUACAAUGAGUAAAAUGUACAAGCGUUUUCCAUGAUCAAUUGGAGGGCAAGUCUGGUGCCAGCAGCCGCGGUAAUUCCAGCUCCAAUAGGAUAUAUCAAAGUUGCUGCAGUUGAAAAGCUCGUAGUCGUAUUUCUGGUGGGUUGAUGUUUUAGUCGGUGUUAGUAAUAAUGCUUGAUUAGGACCGCCUGCCAUUUUGUGGAAUCAUGUGUCCAGAUUGUGGUUUAUUCUGUGAUUUGGUCGCACCACUCCGUCACUGAGAGCAAAUUGGAGUGCUCAAAGCAAGCUUUACAGCUUUGAACAUCUUAGCUUGGAAUGACAAAGUAUGACUUAUUGUUCACUUUGUUGGUUAUGAAUAGAAAGUAAUGAUAAAUAGGAACAGUUGCGGGGGUACUCGUACUGGAAAGUCAGAGGUGAAAUUCUUGGAUUUUUCCACGACGAACGACUGCGAAAGCAUUUACCAAGGAUGUUUUCAUUGAUCAAGAACGAAAGUGCGAGGAUCGAAGAUGAUUAGAUACCAUCGUAGUUCGCACAGUAAACGAUGCCGACUCGGGAUUAAGUCCUCUUCGUUAUUAUAGAAGGAUCUUAGCACCGUAUGUGAAAACAAAGUCUUUGGGUUCCGGGGGGAGUAUGGUCGCAAGGCUGAAACUUAAAGGAAUUGACGGAAGGGCACACCAGAGGUGGAGCCUGCGGUUUAAUUUGACCCAACACGGGGAAACUCACCAGGUCCAGACAUGAGAAGGAUUGACAGUUUGAAAGCACUUUCUUGAUUUCAUGGGUGGUGGUGCAUGGCCGUUCUUAGUUGGUGGAGUGAUUUGUCUGGUUGAUUCCGAUAACGAACGAGACUCUCAGAGUAAACUGGUUUAGGUGGUAAUUUGCGUUACUUCCGGCCUCUUUUCUCGACAAUUCGUUUUUAACGAAAGGAAGCGGAGAGCAAUAACGGGUCUGUGAUGCCCCUCGAUGUUCUGGGCUACACGCGCGCUACAAUGACGAGUUCAACGAGUUUUUUCUCGUUGCCCGGAAGGGUGUGGGUAAUCUUUUCAAUGCUCGUCGUGAUGGGGCUAGAUUUUUGCAAUUAUUAAUCUUCAACGAGGAAUCUCUAGUAUGUGCAGUUCAUCAGACUGCGCAGAAUGCGUCCCUGCCCUUUGUACACACCGCCCGUCGCACCUACCGAUUGAACGAUCCGGCAAGAUGUUUGGAGUUGUGUUUGUUGGACUUUCGGGUUUGACAGAUACGACAAAGCUCCUCAAACCUUAUCGUUUAGAGGAAGGUGAAGUCGUAACAAGGUC